UCUUCCUCUUCACCAGACAUGCUGGAAAACAAAAGACAGAUUAAGCAGGAAAAAUCAACAUCUUACCUUAAACAAUGGAUUAAGUAAAAUCAACAUGUGAGAACCCCAACUCAUGUUUUGAUUUGAAACAUAUGAAUUCCAAAUAGCAAAACAGAUCAGCUGAAGUUUUCUAAAAUGGUGAAAAUAGAUUCUUGCAGGCUAACUAGAUUUUAAGGCACAUA
This 221-nucleotide unclassified non-coding RNA is filed under the name Hevea brasiliensis (rubber tree). Lineage: Eukaryota; Viridiplantae; Streptophyta; Magnoliopsida; Malpighiales; Euphorbiaceae. The record is from RNAcentral.